UACGGAGGGAGCUAGCGUUGUUCGGAAUUACUGGGCGUAAAGCGCGCGUAGGCGGCAAUGUAAGUUAGAGGUGAAAGCCCGGGGCUCAACCCCGGAACAGCCUUUAAGACUGCAUCGCUAGAAUCCGGGAGAGGUGAGUGGAAUUCCGAGUGUAGAGGUGAAAUUCGUAGAUAUCGUAAGGAAGACCAGUGGCGAAGGCGAGUCUCUGGACAGUUACUGACGCUGAGGCACGAAGGCCAGGGGAGCAAACGGG
RNAcentral lists this ribosomal RNA (253 nucleotides) under uncultured bacterium. RNAcentral's name for it is "partial 16S ribosomal RNA". It matches the Rfam family "Bacterial small subunit ribosomal RNA", at positions 524 to 776 of the family's 1533-position model. The record is from RNAcentral.